GACGAACGCUGGCGGCGUGCCUAAUACAUGCAAGUUGAGCGCUGAAGGUUGGUACUUGUACCGACUGGAUGAGCAGCGAACGGGUGAGUAACGCGUGGGGAAUCUGCCUUUGAGCGGGGGACAACAUUUGGAAACGAAUGCUAAUACCGCAUAAAAACUUUAAACACAAGUUUUAAGUUUGAAAGAUGCAAUUGCAUCACUCAAAGAUGAUUCCGCGUUGUAUUAGCUAGUUGGUGAGGUAAAGGCUCACCAAGGCGAUGAUACAUAGCCGACCUGAGAGGGUGAUCGGCCACAUUGGGACUGAGACACGGCCCAAACUCCUACGGGAGGCAGCAGUAGGGAAUCUUCGGCAAUGGACGAAAGUCUGACCGAGCAACGCCGCGUGAGUGAAGAAGGGUUUCGGAUCGUAAAACUCUGUUGGUAGAGAAGAACGUUGGUGAGAGUGGAAAGCUCAUCAAGUGACGGUAACUACCCAGAAAGGGACGGCUAACUACGUG
This 497-nucleotide ribosomal RNA is filed under the name uncultured bacterium. RNAcentral's name for it is "partial 16S ribosomal RNA". It matches the Rfam family "Bacterial small subunit ribosomal RNA", at positions 28 to 507 of the family's 1533-position model. The record is from RNAcentral.